This 464-nucleotide ribosomal RNA is filed under the name uncultured bacterium. RNAcentral describes it as "partial 16S ribosomal RNA". It matches the Rfam family "Bacterial small subunit ribosomal RNA", at positions 29 to 507 of the family's 1533-position model. The record is from RNAcentral.
ACGCACGCUGGCGGCGUGCUUAACACAUGCCAGUCGAACGGAAAGGCCCUGCUUGCAGGGUACUCGAGUGGCGAACGGGUGAGUAACACGUGGGUGAUCUGCCCUGCACUUCGGGAUAAGCCUGGGAAACUGGGUCUAAUACCGGAUAGGAGCCAUUUUUAGUGUGAUGGUUGGAAAGUUUUUUCGGUGUAGGAUGAGCUCGCGGCCUAUCAGCUUGUUGGUGGGGUAAUGGCCUACCAAGGCGGCGACGGGUAGCCGGCCUGGGAGGGUGGACGGCCACAUUGGGACUGAGAUACGGCCCAGACGCCUACGGGAGGCAGCAGUGGGGAAUAUUGCACAAUGGGCGCAAGCCUGAUGCAGCGACGCCGCGUGGGGGAUGACGGCCUUCGGGUUGUAAACUCCUUUCGCUAGGGACGAAGCUUUUUGUGACGGUACCUAGAUAAGAAGCACCGGCUAACUACGUG